RNAcentral lists this small nuclear RNA (105 nucleotides) under Capra hircus (goat). Lineage: Eukaryota; Metazoa; Chordata; Mammalia; Artiodactyla; Bovidae. The record is from RNAcentral.
GCUUGCUUCAGCAGUGCAUAUACCAGAAUUAUAAUGAUACAGAGAAAACUAGCAUGGCACCUGUGCAAGGGUGACACGCAAAUCCAUCAUGUAUUUCAUAUUUUU